Molecule: long non-coding RNA, 706 nt
Organism: Armigeres subalbatus
Lineage: Eukaryota; Metazoa; Arthropoda; Insecta; Diptera; Culicidae
Exons: 3
Source: RefSeq, a predicted model, not a curated record
AUCAUCAUUAACAGUAUGAUACAUGUACAAUCAUAUGAUUUAUACUUUUAAUGACCUGACCAUAUAAAAUUAUUGACGGAUUAUACAUGUUGCAAUAAUGAUUACUAGAAUGGGAAAUGAAAAAUAAUAUGUAGAGUACAAAAUCAUUCAUGGUAUGAUUUGGGUUGCUAUUCACACACGAAGGCAGAAAUUAGGUAAAUUCUUGGGUACAUUUCAUUUUCAGUGUAAUAGAGACAUUUCUGCCAACGGCAGUUUUUGUCGAGCCAAAUUGACCAACGGCCAUUGAAAAGUUUUCGCAAAGUCGGUGUUGAAAUACAUAAACAUCCGUUUCCUUCUCGUUUCCUUCCACUUCAAGCGGAAAUCGUAAAACGGUGUUCCGCCACUGCGCUAGGGGAUUCGGCGGAGCUGCAAGGAUUUGCAUGCGAAGGAUUCCGGAACUCUGAUGGAUACACCAAGUCUCGGACACAAUGAGUCUGGCACGACCAAUAAUGGUCAUAAACCUUUCAAUCAGCUUUCAACUUCAUUGGGGUGAUGUCAGUUGCCAUUUAUGUUACAUUCUUUAUUUACGAGACUUGCAGUCCGUGGUUGGCUCGUCUCGUAAAUAACACAACGUUUACUAAUUAUUUAAAAAAAUGAAAAAUAAAUGAAUUUUAUUUAUAAUAAAAUAAAUUGAAAUCAUAUCAAGUUAAAGAGCUAUAUUAUAUAA